Molecule: ribosomal RNA, 492 nt
Filed under: uncultured bacterium
Lineage: Bacteria
Description: partial 16S ribosomal RNA
Rfam family: Bacterial small subunit ribosomal RNA
Source: RNAcentral
AGUGAAUGCUGGCGGUAGGCCUAACACAUGCAAGUCGAGCGGCAGCACAGUAAGAGCUUGCUCUUACGGGUGGCGAGUGGCGGACGGGUGAGGAAUACAUCGGAAUCUACUUUUUCGUGGGGGAUAACGUAGGGAAACUUACGCUAAUACCGCAUACGACCUACGGGUGAAAGCAGGGGAUCUUCGGACCUUGCGCGAUUGAAUGAGCCGAUGUCGGAUUAGCUAGUUGGCGGGGUAAAGGCCCACCAAGGCGACGAUCCGUAGCUGGUCUGAGAGGAUGAUCAGCCACACUGGAACUGAGACACGGUCCAGACUCCUACGGGAGGCAGCAGUGGGGAAUAUUGGACAAUGGGCGCAAGCCUGAUCCAGCCAUACCGCGUGGGUGAAGAAGGCCUUCGGGUUGUAAAGCCCUUUUGUUGGGAAAGAAAAGCAGCAGGUUAAUACCCCGCUGUUCUGACGGUACCCAAAGAAUAAGCACCGGCUAACUUCGUG